RNAcentral lists this ribosomal RNA (646 nucleotides) under Keratoisis sp. BI106-1. RNAcentral's name for it is "partial 16S ribosomal RNA". It matches the Rfam family "Bacterial large subunit ribosomal RNA", at positions 1839 to 2578 of the family's 2925-position model. The record is from RNAcentral. Lineage: Eukaryota; Metazoa; Cnidaria; Anthozoa; Scleralcyonacea; Keratoisididae.
UGAAGUAUAGAGGGUGAAUUCUGCCCAAUGGUUGUAUAGUGAAACUGAGGACUAACGUCUAAAGCGAAACCCAACUGAAUGGCCGCGGUAACUCUGACCGUGAUAAUGUAGCACAAUAAAUAGCCAAUUAAUUGUUGGCGGGUAUGAAUGGAACCACGAGGGUCUUACUGUCUCAAGAGGAAAGCCGAUGAAAUUAUAAUUGUAGUGAAGAUACUACAUAAACAUUGUAAGACGAAAAGACCCUAUCGAGCUUUACUGGAUACCGAUAGCGUUAAUUUAGAAUGAUCGAUACUAAGUAUCCUAAUUCUAAGUUAAUAAUUUUUGUUGGUAGGACAGUUUAGUUGGGGCGACUACCUUUGAAUAAGAAACGAAGGCGAGCUUAUGGUAUUAUUUAAAAUCUCAUUAGCCUCACAGUGAGGGGGACACCCCUAGCUGGCACACCCCAAAAGGACAUUUGUCCCCACGUAAGGGAUGUGGGCGAUAGUGACCCGAUAUGAUUAUCCAAAAUAAAUAUCGAAAGCGGAUAAAAGCUACCGUAGGGAUAACAGCGUAAUAUUGUCGGAGAGUUCUUAUCGAGGACAGUGUUUGCGACCUCGAUGUUGAAUUGCGGURCCCUGGUSCUGUAGAAGGUACCUUAGGUUGGUCU